AGAUUGAACGCUGGCGGCAUGCUUUACACAUGCAAGUCGAACGGUAACAGGCCGCAAGGUGCUGACGAGUGGCGAGCGGGUGAGUAAUGCAUCGGAACGUGCCCAGUCGUGGGGGAUAACGCAGCGAAAGCUGUGCUAAUACCGCAUACGAUCUAUGGAUGAAAGGCGGGGGACCGAAAGGCCUCGCGCGAUUGGAGCGGCCGAUGUCGGAUUAACUAGUUGGUGGGGUAAAGGCCCACCAAGGCGACGAUCUGUAGCUGGUCUGAGAGGACGACCUGCCACACUGGAACUGAGACACGGUCCAGACU
This 308-nucleotide ribosomal RNA is filed under the name uncultured soil bacterium. RNAcentral describes it as "bacterial SSU rRNA". It matches the Rfam family "Bacterial small subunit ribosomal RNA", at positions 26 to 337 of the family's 1533-position model. The record is from RNAcentral.